AAAAUAUUUUGCAGUUAUAAUUGCCUAACAAGGAAAGUUCUACCUAGACUUGGUUUGAAAAGGAGGCUUGCAGACAUUGCUUUUGAUGAAAUAUUUGAUAUUGCACAGAGAGAAAUACUGAAUGGAUGUUCAGGUGCUGAAAGUCUAAGAAGAAUUAUAAAAAUGAAACACCAGCUGAAUAUUACCAGGUCCAUAGCAAGAGAUAUAGUUCGUCUUUUGGAUGAAGAUGGGAUAAAGAGAAGGAAGCAGAGAAGACUGAGAAGAAGGCAAUACUUUAGUAAGGGUCCAAAUUUUGUUUGGCAUUUGGAUUUUCCAGACAGUUGAUAUGGCUGGAAGCAGAUGUGACUAAUAAAAGACCGGAGGUUGUAGCAGAAUACUUCCUGAAUGCAGUUCAUACUAUGAAAGGUUGUCCUCAAAAGAUAAGAGCUGAUCCUGGCACAGAAAAUGGGAUCAUCGCAACAUUCCAAACAUUUCUUAAGACAGAUCCAAGUGCAGUGUCUUUUGGAACUUCGACUGCAAAUCAGAGAAUUGAAAGAUUUUGGGGCAUUUUAAGGCAAAUGAAAGCAGAUUUCUGGAUGGAUCAUUUCAAAGGAUUGGUGUAUGAAGAACUGCUGGAAAUAGGAAAUCCUCUACAUAAGUAUGUAUAGAUGAAAAA
This is a long non-coding RNA of Saccostrea echinata, 655 nucleotides long. RefSeq lists it as uncharacterized. The record is from RefSeq and is a predicted model, not a curated record. NCBI's taxonomy places the organism in Eukaryota, Metazoa, Mollusca, Bivalvia, Ostreida, Ostreidae. The transcript is spliced from 8 exons.